This 433-nucleotide ribosomal RNA is filed under the name uncultured bacterium. RNAcentral describes it as "partial 16S ribosomal RNA". It matches the Rfam family "Bacterial small subunit ribosomal RNA", at positions 29 to 507 of the family's 1533-position model. The record is from RNAcentral.
AACGAACGCUGGCGGCAGGCCUAACACAUGCAAGUCGAGCGAGGACUUCGGUUCUAGCGGCGGACGGGUGAGUAACGCGUGGGAAUGUGCCCUUCUCUACGGAAUAGCCCUGGGAAACUGGGAGUAAUACCGUAUACGCCCUAUCGGGGAAAGAUUUAUCGGAGAAGGAUCAGCCCGCGUUGGAUUAGGUAGUUGGUGGGGUAAUGGCCUACCAAGCCGACGAUCCAUAGCUGGUUUGAGAGGAUGAUCAGCCACACUGGGACUGAGACACGGCCCAGACUCCUACGGGAGGCAGCAGUGGGGAAUCUUAGACAAUGGGGGCAACCCUGAUCUAGCCAUGCCGCGUGAGUGAUGAAGGCCUUAGGGUUGUAAAGCUCUUUCAGCUGGGAAGAUAAUGACGGUACCAGCAGAAGAAGCCCCGGCUAACUCCGUG